CUGCAGCCAAUUAAGCCGACUGUGCUCUUUCCCCACAGGGGCCCAGUAUGCAAUGGCCGCACGCAGUAGCCUCCUUGGUAGUGUAUGAAGCCUGUUGAUUGUAUGGGUUGCCCUAAGGGGCCUUGGGGACAGCC
Lynx canadensis (Canada lynx) is the source of this 134-nucleotide small nucleolar RNA. Its record names the gene SNORA70. It matches the Rfam family "Small nucleolar RNA SNORA70". Rfam says of the family: snoRNA U70 seems to be exclusive to mammals and is a member of the H/ACA class of snoRNA which contain H (ANANNA) and ACA box motifs. H/ACA box snoRNAs are involved in the conversion of uridines to pseudouridines (5-ribosyluracil) a constituent of structural RNAs (transfer, ribosomal, small nuclear, and small nucleolar). The record is from Ensembl. NCBI's taxonomy places the organism in Eukaryota, Metazoa, Chordata, Mammalia, Carnivora, Felidae.